This 253-nucleotide ribosomal RNA is filed under the name uncultured bacterium. RNAcentral's name for it is "partial 16S ribosomal RNA". It matches the Rfam family "Bacterial small subunit ribosomal RNA", at positions 524 to 776 of the family's 1533-position model. The record is from RNAcentral.
UACAGAGGUCUCAAGCGUUGUUCGGAAUUACUGGGCGUAAAGGGCUCGUAGGCGGCCAACUAAGUCAUACGUGAAAUCCCUCAGCUUAACUGGGGAACUGCGUGUGAUACUGGAUGGCUUGGAUUUGGGAGAGGGAUGCGGAAUUCCAGGUGUAGCGGUGAAAUGCGUAGAUAUCGGGAGGAACACCUGUGGCGAAGGCGGGUCUCUGGACAGUUCCUGACGCUGAGGCACGAAGGCCAGGGGAGCAAACGGG